CCUACGGGAGGCUGCAGUAGGGAAUCUUCCACAAUGGGCGCAAGCCUGAUGGAGCAACACCGCGUGAGUGAAGAAGGGUUUCGGCUCGUAAAGCUCUGUUGUUGGAGAAGAACGUGCGUGAGUUUAACUGUUCACUCAGUGACGGUAUCUAACCAGAAAGUCACGGCUAACUCCGUGCCAGCAGCCGCGGUAAUACGUAGGUGGCAAGCGUUAUCCGGAUUUAUUGGGCGUAAAGCGCGCGCAGGCGGUUGCUUAGGUCUGAUGUGAAAGCCUUCGGCUUAACCGAAGAAGUGCAUCGGAAACCGGGCAACUAGAGUGCAGAAGAGGACAGUGGAACUCCAUGUGUAGCGGUGGAAUGCGUAGAGAUAUGGAAGAACACCAGUGGCGAAGGCGGCUGUCUGGUCUGCAACUGACGCUGAGGCUCGAAAGCAUGGGGAGCGAACAGGAUUAGAUACCCGUGUAGUU
This 465-nucleotide ribosomal RNA is filed under the name uncultured bacterium. RNAcentral describes it as "partial 16S ribosomal RNA". It matches the Rfam family "Bacterial small subunit ribosomal RNA", at positions 338 to 795 of the family's 1533-position model. The record is from RNAcentral.